This 474-nucleotide ribosomal RNA is filed under the name uncultured bacterium. RNAcentral's name for it is "bacterial SSU rRNA". It matches the Rfam family "Bacterial small subunit ribosomal RNA", at positions 29 to 523 of the family's 1533-position model. The record is from RNAcentral.
AACGAACGCUGGCGGCAGGCAUAACACAUGCAAGUCGAGCGGGUAUAGCAAUAUAUCAGCGGCGAAAGGGAGAGUAACGCGUAGCUACGUACCCCAGAGACCGGAAUAGCCAGCCGAAAGGCUGGGUAAUGCCGGAUGAUGUCCCUGGACUAAAGGGUGUGAUUCCGCUUUGGGAGCGGGCUGCGUUGUACUAGCUUGUUGGUAGGGUAAUGGCCUACCAAGGCGAUGAUGCAUACCGGGCGUGAGAGCGUGGCCCGGCUCACUGGGACUGAGACACUGCCCAGACACCUACGGGUGGCUGCAGUCGAGAAUCUUCGGCAAUGAGCGCAAGCUUGACCGAGCGACGCCGCGUGCGGGAUGAAGGCCUUCGGGUUGUAAACCGCGAAAGUAGGGAGGAAAUUGCUAGGGGUUCUCCCCUAGUAUUGACCUAUCUUCAGUAAGGACGGGCUAAGUUCGUGCCAGCCGCCGCAGUAA